This 726-nucleotide ribosomal RNA is filed under the name Acinetobacter baumannii. Its description in RNAcentral is "partial 23S ribosomal RNA". It matches the Rfam family "Bacterial large subunit ribosomal RNA", at positions 12 to 745 of the family's 2925-position model. Lineage: Bacteria; Pseudomonadati; Pseudomonadota; Gammaproteobacteria; Moraxellales; Moraxellaceae. The record is from RNAcentral.
UAAGGGCGCACGGUGGAUGCCUUGGCACUAAGAGCCGAAGAAGGACGUGACUAACGACGAUAUUCUAGGGGGAGCAGUAAGUACGCAUUGAUCCCUAGGUCUCCGAAUGGGGAAACCCAGCUGCUACUAGCAGUUAUUCAUGAGUGAAUACAUAGCUCAUGUAAAGGUAACGCAGAGAACUGAAACAUCUAAGUACCUGCAGGAAGAGAAAGUAAAAACGAUUUCGUAAGUAGCGGCGAGCGAACGCGAAGAAGGGCAAACCAAGAAGCUUGCUUCUUGGGGUUGUAGGACUGCAACGUGGACUUAAGCAUUAUAGUCGAAUAACCUGGGAAGGUUAAUCAAAGAGGGUAAUAAUCCCGUAGACGAAAUAGCGCUUAUACCUAGCAGUAUCCUGAGUAGGGCUGGACACGCGAAAUCCAGUUUGAAUCCGGGAGGACCAUCUCCCAACCCUAAAUACUCCUUAGUGACCGAUAGUGAACCAGUACCGUGAGGGAAAGGUGAAAAGAACCCCGAGAGGGGAGUGAAAUAGCACCUGAAACCGUGUGCCUACAAGAAGUUCGAGCCCGUUAAUGGGUGAGAGCGUGCCUUUUGUAGAAUGAACCGGCGAGUUACGUUAUGAUGCGAGGUUAAGUUGAAGAGACGGAGCCGUAGGGAAACCGAGUCUGAAUAGGGCGACUUAGUAUCAUGAUGUAGACCCGAAACCUAGUGACCUAUCCAUGAGCAGGG